AGGCUUGCUUGGCAGCCCCUGGGCUCUGCUCAGGGACUCUCUGGAUCUUUUGGGGACAAGGCUCAGGACAUGGGGAACGCCUGUGAACCUCUGAGGAACUUGGGAGUGCUGCUGCUGCUGAGCCACUAAACCAGGGGGCUGAGAGAACCCCAGGAGCAUGACCAGCUGCCCCGAAUUAGGGAGAGCCAAGCACCCACCCAGCAGCACCUGGGCUAAGUCUAUGUAAGAGGCAGCUGAGGCAGCAGCAGUGCCUUUUGCCAGAGCUGAUGUGGAGCUGGGCUGCUGUGAGGGGGGACCCUGGCAGCCCUGCUCCAGGAUAACCACCCUCAGGCAUGGUGGUGACACCCCACGGGGCCAUUUCCCCCCAGGGAGUGCCCAGGGCUUCGGUCCUGCAGGAGGUUUGGCUGUCUUGGAAGGGCCAUGGUGCCGACUGGAGAAGUUUUAGGAGGCAGUGAGCAGGCUGCACAACAUCGGAGUUUCAUGGGAGGUGGACAGGAAUUUCUCUGGGAGUGGCAGCUUGCAGAGCCUCAGCCACAUCUGCCACAGAGAAGCAGGCAGUGCCCACCCCCACCAGCAAGGUUUUUAACUACAAAACAGGCUCAAAGCAUGUGAGGUGACAGGAAGGCUUCAAAAAGUAACAAGUGCUGCUUAAGUGGGGUCCCUUUCAGCAUCUGCAUGUAAGCAUGGCCACAUCUAUGAGGUUCCACUCUGGAGAAAUUCCCCACACCCUUCCUGGUAGGGAAAGCACAUGGGGGUGCCUCCCUGAGGUGUCUGCUUACGAACGGUGUGGGGGGCUAACAUGGAGAGCUGUGUGCAGGUGAAAUACAAUCUUGGAUCACAGAGGUGUGCUGGGAUGACUCCCAAGCCCUGGGAGUGCUGCAGAGGGGGGAUACAGGCUCUGCUGCCAGGAGGAGAUUCCGGUGCCCUGGUCCCUGUGGGCACUCCCAAGGAGAGUGAUGUGAGCAGGCAGAACAGUGUGGCAGAGCACAGGGAACCCAGGAGCACCCUGGAUCCAGGGGUUCCACUGCACCCCCACCCUCCUGCAAGGAGGGGCUCACUGGGAUGAGGGUCAGAGGCUGCCUUGGCUGCAGUGACCAUGGGAUAAUGAAGGCAGCUGGGGAUGAGGUCAGGCAAAGCCAAAGCCCAGCUGAAUUGGGUCUGGCAAGCCAUGGGAGGGACUAAAGGGGUUUGAGUACUUGGGUAGCUAGAGGAAGGCCAAGGGAAGUCUGGGCAGACUCCUGGCUGGAAGUAGGGCAUGGAUAGGCAGACAGUGAGGUGGAUUGCAAAGCGGCUGAAUGACUGUGUCCAGAGGGUGACAAUCAGUGGCCUGUCUUUACUGUGAGGGUGACAGAGCUUUGGCGGGGCUGUGGAGUUUCCAUCCUUGGAGGCAAUGAAAGAGUGUUUGGACAAGGUGCAGGACAACUGGUUUCAGGUGGCCCUGCUCAAGCUGGGGCCUCAGGCAAGUUGACCUUCAGAGCUACUUUGCAGCCUCAAGCACUUGGGGAUCCCAAGGGCUAAAGGCUCAAAGCAGCCCAGAGCAGCUUGUCUGCUCUUCAGGCAGCAAGAAGGCUUUAAAAUUAAAAAAGGGGCAAACCAAACCUGGCAUUAUGUAAUGUCUCACUGGUAGUCUCCUCAAAGCAACACAUGCAGGGCAUGAUUCACUUCUCCCCCCACCAAUGUAACUUGGUAUAAAUCAACAGUAACUUGAAGGAAGUUGCUCCAAGGAAAACCAAGCUCACAAAGUAGGAGGGAGAGCAGUAAUUUCAUACAACAGGGCCAGAAGCUUUCAAGCCCAUAAAAACUAACUCUCUAGAGGCAAGGGCCAACAGGCAUUUGGAAUUUAAAGCAUCAUGCAGCACCUUUUGAGUAAUAUAAUCCCCUGAAACCAAAUAAAUACAAUGCCUCUGUGGGCAAAAACACAGAGACAGGAUUCAGCAGUACCUCUUUGUCUGUCGGCAGUAGUCAGUCAUUAACAUCAAUGAACAGUGAUAAAACCAAACAAGUUUAUACCCAGCUCAACACCCACAUCCAAAAAAUGUCUCACUACCAUGGCUUCAUUCCUCUUGACAACAGCAAAAGAGAACUUCGUCUGAAAGCCUAAGUGCUCACCAAGGCCAGUAUUUCACUUUGUAGACUCUGACUGGCUUCGGGAUAAAUUAGUGAUUACAGCUAAUAUCAGGAUACAGUGUGAGGCAGUAAAAAGAGAUAAUUAUGAGGAAAUGGGGAAUUAUCUGCUGUUGAAACAAUAGAUCAAUUAUGAGGUACAGCACAGUAGCUGCAGAGCAGCAUUCUUGUGCUCUGAGGGUACUGCCUCCUCUUUCUCAUCAACCAAGGAGAACCCACAGUUAUAAAGCUUAAUUAUCCUCCAGGAGCUUGAGCUUGCUGACUAAUUAGCCUCUUGUUGAGACAAUGCAGGAAAGGAUAUAACUCCAGUUGUCCGCUACAACAGCACGGCACAGGCACAGUCUCUUUCCCCGCGUCUUCAUCUCUCCUGUCCUACGAGAGCCCUGAUAUACCCGCAGCCCCGUCAGCCUAAAACCAGUCCUGAGCCCAAAAUAAACUAAACCCAGCCAUGGGAGCUCUGAGAGGGGGGUACAGAUGAAAGGGAAGGAAGCAGAGUGUCUGAGGCAGUCUCUACAGCAGCUGGAGUGCUCCUGCUCCCACAGCAGAGCUGUGUGAAUCCCGCUUUGCUCCGUGCAUGGACACACUGGCAGGGCUCCCACAAAUGGGGACUAAGCUGAGCUUGAUGGCUCAGCUGCAUGGCUGCAGUUAGGAGCACGUCAACACCAAGAUUUACAGUCAGAAUUAGUAAAAAACAUGAAGGUUGAAGUUCUUAGGAGCCAAGUUCUUGUCUAACACACCACUGCAGUCAAGUGACCCCAGCCCAGAAACAGGGUCUUGCUGUGUGCAGUGGAAAACCACCAGAAAGGUCCACAAGCCUCUGGCAGAUGGGUUCAUCCGGCAGCUCCUGUCAUUUGGUAGAGAUGUUUGGUGUCUGGGCUGCUGAGCAAUAUGGAAUAUCUGCAGCAACAUGUUAUUUAUGAGUGAGCUUUUAGAGGAGUUUAUGGCACAGCAAGUGCAAAUACCCACUGUGGUUAAUGAAGGAGUGUUGAUAAUAUUCGCAGUCAGCAAACACACAGGAAGGGAAAAUGUCAGACCACAUCUGCUUUGUACAGAGACUGGAGACACCUGAGAUUUCCUUCCAUCUCAGUGACUUCACUGUGCUUUUUUAGCUUUUGAGAAUGGCUUCUUUGAGAAUGCAGUGCAAUCAUAGCUAUUUCCAAUGCAGUAUUUCCGAAUCCCCUUUAAAAUCCACCUCCCUGAUGGCCAGCCUGGCUUUGCUGCCGCUUCCCUGGAGCAUGCUGCUGAAAAGGUCUUUGGUCAGGAGCUCCUCAGGCCCCACAAAGUCAUGGGAGCAGAGGAAAAAAGGCAAAUACAGGCAGGUUCCCAGGCAAGUCAGUUCUGGGCACACAUUCUAGGGGAAGAAUUCAGACCCCACAGCUGGGUUACACUCUGUCUGGAGAUGCAGGUCUUCUUCACCCACAGUCUGGUCCAUGCUCAGGCAAUCGAGUCCUAGGGGUUAUCAUUUGGCACUCAAAACAUGAUGUUUAGUUUUCCUGAGGCCACUGGUCCUGCCUGACCUUUCUAAAAUCCCUCAAUGUGGCAUAAACUGCAGAUGUUUUUAUCUGUCCCUUCCAUCACCCAGGUCAAAUGGAUCGUUUCCACUGGUGUGAUGCUGAACUUUAUUUCCUAAAUACAAAAAGUGCCUCGUAAAAACACAGUGAUUAGACCUGUGCAUACAAAUGCUCCCCAAAAGCCAGUUCAGCAUCAGGUCAAGGCUAAUUAAUUAGUGCUUUAACCAUGGCUGCAGGUGU
This is a long non-coding RNA of Passer domesticus (house sparrow), 3875 nucleotides long. RefSeq lists it as uncharacterized. The transcript is spliced from 2 exons. Lineage: Eukaryota; Metazoa; Chordata; Aves; Passeriformes; Passeridae. The record is from RefSeq and is a predicted model, not a curated record.